RNAcentral lists this ribosomal RNA (494 nucleotides) under uncultured bacterium. RNAcentral describes it as "partial 16S ribosomal RNA". It matches the Rfam family "Bacterial small subunit ribosomal RNA", at positions 28 to 507 of the family's 1533-position model. The record is from RNAcentral.
GACGAACGCUGGCGGCGCGCUUAACACAUGCAAGUCGAACGGAAAGGCCUGCUUUCCCUUGUGGAUUGCGGGUACUCGAGUGGCGAACGGGUGAGUAACACGUGAGUGAUCUGCCCCCAACUUGGGUAUAAGCCUGGGAAACUGGGUCUAAUUCCCGAUAGGACUGCAGGGUGGUGCCUGUGGUGGAAAACGAUUUUCUAGUGGUUGGGGAUGAGCUCGCGGCCUAUCAGCGUGUUGGUGGGGUAAUGGCCUACCAAGGCGGCGACGGGUAGCCGGCCUGAGAGGGUGGACGGCCACAUUGGGACUGAGAUACGGCCCAGACUCCUACGGGAGGCAGCAGUGGGGGAUAUUGCACAGUGGGCGGAAGCCUGAUGCAGCGACGCCGCGUGGGGGAUGACGGCCUUCGGGUUGUAAACUCCUUUGGACCGCGAGGAAGCCACCUGGUUGGAAGGGUGGUGACGGUAGUGGUAGAAGAAGCACCGGCUAACUACGUG